CGCGUAGGCGGCUCCAAAAGUCAGGGGUGAAAUCCGGCAGCUUAACUGUCGCAGUGCCUUUGAUACUGUGGAGCUAGAGGGAGGUAGGGGUCUGUGGAACUUCCGGUGGAGCGGUGAAAUGCGUUGAUAUCGGAAGGAACGCCGGUGGCGAAAGCGACGGACUGGAUCUCUUCUGACGCUGAGGCGCGAAAGCCAGGGGGAGCAAACG
This 208-nucleotide ribosomal RNA is filed under the name uncultured bacterium. Its description in RNAcentral is "partial 16S ribosomal RNA". It matches the Rfam family "Bacterial small subunit ribosomal RNA", at positions 568 to 774 of the family's 1533-position model. The record is from RNAcentral.